AUUGAACGCUGGCGGCAGGCCUAACACAUGCAAGUCGAACGGUAACAGGAAGCAGCUUGCUGCUUUGCAGACGAGUGGCGGACGGGUGAGUAAUGUCUGGGAAACUGCCUGAUGGAGGGGGAUAACUACUGGAAACGGUAGCUAAUACCGCAUAACGUCGCAAGACCAAAGAGGGGGACCUUCGGGCCUCUUGCCAUCGGAUGUGCCCAGAUGGGAUUAGCUAGUAGGUGGGGUAACGGCUCACCUAGGCGACGAUCCCUAGCUGGUCUGAGAGGAUGACCAGCCACACUGGAACUGAGACACGGUCCAGACUCCUACGGGAGGCAGCAGUGGGGAAUAUUGCACAAUGGGCGCAAGCCUGAUGCAGCCAUGCCGCGUGUAUGAAGAAGGCCUUCGGGUUGUAAAGUACUUUCAGCGGGGAGGAAGGGAGUAAAGUUAAUACCUUUGCUCAUUGACGUUACCCGCAGAAGAAGCACCGGCUAACUCCGUG
Molecule: ribosomal RNA, 490 nt
Filed under: uncultured bacterium
Lineage: Bacteria
Description: partial 16S ribosomal RNA
Rfam family: Bacterial small subunit ribosomal RNA
Source: RNAcentral